RNAcentral lists this long non-coding RNA (242 nucleotides) under Elaeis guineensis (African oil palm). RNAcentral's name for it is "long non-coding RNA (EGUI_LNC051370)". Lineage: Eukaryota; Viridiplantae; Streptophyta; Magnoliopsida; Arecales; Arecaceae. The record is from RNAcentral.
CUAUCAUUUGAUACUCUCAAAUCAGGAUUUUGGUAAAAUUAUAAUUUUGCCCCUGAAGAGCAAUAAGUCUUUUUCAAGUGAAAAUCAUUGGUACCCCUUCAACUGCUUUGUAAUCAUCAAAAUCAAUCUAAGGAGCAACAACAUCAUACACGAAUAUCUCGAGAAGAAGUUCAUUGAGGUGUUAAGAGUUGACUCCGCACUAAAUGUAGUGGACCCGCUAACCAAGCCUCUCAGCCAACAGA